This 476-nucleotide ribosomal RNA is filed under the name Streptococcus parasanguinis. RNAcentral describes it as "bacterial SSU rRNA". It matches the Rfam family "Bacterial small subunit ribosomal RNA", at positions 28 to 487 of the family's 1533-position model. Lineage: Bacteria; Bacillati; Bacillota; Bacilli; Lactobacillales; Streptococcaceae. The record is from RNAcentral.
GAUGAACGCUGGCGGCGUGCCUAAUACAUGCAAGUAGAACGCUGAAGCUUGGUGCUUGCACCGAGCGGAUGAGUUGCGAACGGGUGAGUAACGCGUAGGUAACCUGCCUCUUAGCGGGGGAUAACUAUUGGAAACGAUAGCUAAUACCGCAUAAAAGACGAUAUCGCAUGAUAUUGAUUUGAAAGGUGCAAAUGCAUCACUAAGAGAUGGACCUGCGUUGUAUUAGCUAGUUGGUGAGGUAACGGCUCACCAAGGCAACGAUACAUAGCCGACCUGAGAGGGUGAUCGGCCACACUGGGACUGAGACACGGCCCAGACUCCUACGGGAGGCAGCAGUAGGGAAUCUUCGGCAAUGGGGGCAACCCUGACCGAGCAACGCCGCGUGAGUGAAGAAGGUUUUCGGAUCGUAAAGCUCUGUUGUAAGAGAAGAACGAGUGUGAGAGUGGAAAGUUCACACUGUGACGGUAACUACCAGA